RNAcentral lists this small nuclear RNA (178 nucleotides) under Yasuhikotakia morleti (skunk botia). Its description in RNAcentral is "partial U2". It matches the Rfam family "U2 spliceosomal RNA". Rfam says of the family: U2 is a small nuclear RNA (snRNA) component of the spliceosome (involved in pre-mRNA splicing). Complementary binding between U2 snRNA (in an area lying towards the 5' end but 3' to hairpin I) and the branchpoint sequence (BPS) of the intron results the bulging out of an unpaired adenosine, on the BPS, which initiates a nucleophilic attack at the intronic 5' splice site, thus starting the first of two transesterification reactions that mediate splicing. The record is from RNAcentral. Lineage: Eukaryota; Metazoa; Chordata; Actinopteri; Cypriniformes; Botiidae.
AUCGCUUCUCGGCCUUAUGGCUAAGAUCAAGUGUAGUAUCUGUUCUUAUCAGUUUAAUAUCUGAUACGUYCCCUACCCGGGGACCAUAUAUUAAAUUGAUUUUUGGMWCARGGAGAUGGAAYAGGRGCUUGCUCCGUCCACUCCAYGCAUCGACCCGGUAUUGCAGUACCGCCGGGAA